AGUCUGACCUGCCCAAUGAUAUAAAAUAUUAAAUGGCCGCGAUAUUUUGAUCGUGCAAAGGUAGCAUAAUAAUUAGUUUCUUAAUUGGGAACUGGAAUGAAAGGUCGAACGAGAAAAUAACUGUCUCAAUUUAAUUUUGAUUAGAAUUUUAUUUUUAAGUAAAAAAGCUUAAAUAAGUUUAAAAGACGAGAAGACCCUAUAGAGUUUAAUAUUAAUUUAUUUAUUUUUUAGUUUAAGAAUUUAAGUUUAAAAUUAGUAGAGAAAUAUUUAAUUGGGGUGAUUGAAAAAUUUAAAAAACUUUUUUUUUAUUAAAACAUUUAUUUAUGAUAAAUUGAUCCAUAUAUAAUGAUUAAAAGAUUAAAUUACCUUAGGGAUAACAGCGUAAUUUUUUUUGAGAGUUCAUAUCGAAAAAAUAGAUUGCGACCUCGAUGUUGGAUUAAAAUUAACUUAUGGUGUAGAAGCUAUAAAAGUUAGGUCUGUUCGACCUUUAAAAUUUU
This 497-nucleotide ribosomal RNA is filed under the name Onthophagus acuminatus. RNAcentral's name for it is "partial 16S ribosomal RNA". It matches the Rfam family "Bacterial large subunit ribosomal RNA", at positions 1851 to 2597 of the family's 2925-position model. The record is from RNAcentral. Lineage: Eukaryota; Metazoa; Arthropoda; Insecta; Coleoptera; Scarabaeidae.